Molecule: ribosomal RNA, 325 nt
Filed under: uncultured eukaryote
Lineage: Eukaryota
Description: partial 18S ribosomal RNA
Rfam family: Eukaryotic small subunit ribosomal RNA
Source: RNAcentral
CCCUUAGAUGUUCUGGGCCGCACGCGCGCUACACUGAUGCAUUCAACGAGCCUAUCCUUGACCGACAGGUCCGGGUAAUCUUUGAAUCUGCAUCGUGACGGGGAUAGAUUAUUGCAAUUAUUAAUCUUCAACGAGGAAUGCCUAGUAGGCGCAAGUCAUCAGCUUGCGUCGAUUACGUCCCUGCCCUUUGUACACACCGUCCGUCGCUCCUACCGAUUGGGUGUGCUGGUGAAAUGUUCGGAUCGGCCGUUUGUCGCGGUUUCCGCGUCAUGUGGCUGAGAAGUUCAUUAAACCCUCCCACCUAGAGGAAGGAGAAGUCGUAACA